RNAcentral lists this ribosomal RNA (332 nucleotides) under uncultured bacterium. Its description in RNAcentral is "bacterial SSU rRNA". It matches the Rfam family "Bacterial small subunit ribosomal RNA", at positions 568 to 898 of the family's 1533-position model. The record is from RNAcentral.
CAUGCAGGCGGUCGUACGCGUUUUGUGUGACAGCGGGUGGCUUAACUACCCGAGUAUGCGAAAGACGGUAUGACUUGAGGGCUCGAGAGGGACACGGAAUUCCGGGUGGAGUGGUGAAAUACGUAGAGAUCCGGAGGAACACCGAAGGCGAAGGCAGUGUCCUGGCGAGUGACUGACGCUGAGGUGCGAAAGCCAGGGGAGCGAACGGGAUUAGAUACCCCGGUAGUCCUGGCCGUAAACGAUGACCACCAGGUGUGGGAGGUAUCGACCCCUUCCGUGCCGGAGUAAACACACUAAGUGGUCCGCCUGGGGAGUACGGUCGCAAGAUUAAA